Setaria italica (foxtail millet) is the source of this 2544-nucleotide long non-coding RNA. RefSeq lists it as uncharacterized. The record is from RefSeq and is a predicted model, not a curated record. NCBI's taxonomy places the organism in Eukaryota, Viridiplantae, Streptophyta, Magnoliopsida, Poales, Poaceae. The transcript is spliced from 2 exons.
UCCUGCACAAUUUACUUGAGCGGAUCAGUGUGAAGAUUCAUGCCAAAAUCAAAGCACGGCAAGCUGGUAAAACUGGUACGUCUCGCCGCCGGACUGGUUUUCAUAGGAGAGUCAUUGAGAGAGAUCACGGAGAGGGUCAUCAACGGCUUGUCACUGAUUUCUUUUCUGAAGAUCCAGUCUAUGAUGAAAAGGUAUUCAGAACAAGGUACCGGAUGAGUAGACCCCUCUUUCUACGUAUUGUCCGUGCGCUAGGUGAGUGGUCCCCCUAUUUCACCAAGAGGACUGAUAUCUGCUAUCGCCAAGGGCUGUCACCUCUGCAGAAAUGCACAGCGGCAAUUCGUAUGUUAGCACGUGGCUGCGCGGCAGAUGCUGUGGACGAAUAUUUGCAGAUUGGUACGAGCACAGCAAUGGAGUGUUUGGAGCGGUUUGCAGAAGGAGUGAUUGACAAGUUUGGCGGAGAAUACUUGUGAGGCCCUACUAGUGCUGAUAUGCAGCACCUACUACAAAUUGGUGAAGGCCUUGGCUUCCCUGGCAUGUUGGGAAGCAUUGGUUGCAUGCACUGGGAGUGGGAAAAUUGCCCUCCUAAAUGGAUGCGUCGUCUUAAUCAUAGUGAUCACGGCUUUGCCACAUUUAUUCUUGAAGCUGUUGCUUCACAAGAUCUCUGGAUAUGGCAUGCUUCUUUCAAUGCUGUUGGCUCCAUCAAUGACAUCAGUGUUCUCAAUCAAUCACCGUCGUUUACUCUAAGUCUUGAAAGGACAAGCUCCCCCGGUGCAAUUCUCCAUCAAUAAGAGUCAAUACAAUAUGGGAUACUACCUUGCUGAUGAAAUUUACCCAGAAUGCACUGUAUUUGUUAAGACAAUACCCUUCCCUCGAACUGAAAAGGAACGAUUGUUUGCUAAACAUCAAGAAGAGGCAACGAAGGAUGUUCAGCGCGCAUUUGGAGUCCUGCAAUCUCGUUUCCCCAUUGUUCGUGGUCCAAUUCGCUUUUUCCAACGAGCAACUCCUGGGAAAAUCCUGCAAGCUUGUGUCAUACUCCAUAACAUGGCAGUUCAGGAUGAGAAAGACAUGGCAAGUACUUGUUCUGAACCAAAUGAAGCUUCAGGUAUAACAGCUGUUUUACCAUCAAACAUCAAAACUGGGCCUGCCAAUUGCUUAACUAAUGUACUCCAGAGAAGUGCCCCUGUUUGUAGUCAAGCAACACAUGGCCAGCUAAGAAGGGAUUUAACUGAGCAUAUCUGGCAGCAGUUUGGGCCAUUUGGCGACAAGUAAAAAAGAUCUAGUAUUAGUGUACGAAGUCAUGUCGCUUGGUGGGUCACUGGCUAUAAUUAGCUGUAUAAACGGCCUUUUUUGAGGGGAAAAAAAGGCUGAUUGGCAGGAUACAAUCGUAGAGAGACUUUUGAAUUGUGAGGUACCAUUACGAGCUCAAUAUAUACGAGUGUUAUUCUGUUCGUUGAAAUUGUUCGUUUGGAAGUUUCCCGAAAAGCUAAUUAUAGGUUGUUCUCUCCAUCGGAACAAUAGGGCCGUUAUGCUUAUUACUAAACUUGUUGAAGAGAUGAAAUAGAACCAAGGUCUAUCUUUUUGACUCCAAUCGGAACUUCUCUUGACCCAACGACACGUUGAUCUAGUUUCCAUCGGAGCCACAAGGGACUGUUUAAACUGAUUCGUUUCUGUCUAUAAGCUCCCAGUGCAUCAUAGGAACUAGAAGUGGGAGAGAGGGGAUGUGAUGAUUGAGGUUUUGAAUAAGACGGAUUUUCGCGAGAGAACCAAAUCCAAGUUGGUGAAGAUCAUGAUUUGGGCUGGCAUAGUAGUUAUUACCUUUGCAAUUGCGGUUCGAGUCUAUCCCAUCUUUAUCUUUUUGCUCAAAGAACGAAUAAAACCCCUUGUUGAAGCCCUUUAUGAUAAGCUUUCCUGGAUCUGGGAAGUUUCUCUUUCACGGUAUUGGGUUGUGGGUUUUUUUCUACAAAUGGCGGCUUUCCCUUCACCGCCCCCAUGGGGGUGGUCCACAGGGUUCAUAACUGCUAGCCCUUAGGGUGCGUAUUGUUUGUUGACUAUAACUAAUGAACCCAGCUAGCAUAGGGAACAUAUACUUUGUAUUGACUAAAAUAUAUACUUUGACUUUCAUGUGCUAGAACUUUAGCUCGUAAACAUAAAAGUAGGGUACGAACUUUUAUGCAACGAUUGGGUUCGGUAUUUUUAGAAGAAUUUUUGAGACGUGGCAUCUGACUGAACUAUCAAUUCUGCCACUGGAAAUUGGGUGGAAAAAACAAAUGUCUUAUUUUUUCUGUAAGAGAUAGCCUUAUUCUUCAAAGGAAUCUUCAAUCUGCACAAGGAACCCUGUACCCUUGCUGUAGUCUAUUCUAUAAAGAUUUCACUAAAGCAUCAUGCUUCUGAAGUAAAGGAUCCUAUUCUUCUCCUAGCUGAUUAGCCCGCCAUACCUGAGUUAUCUGGUACAACUGAACAUUGGGAUAAGCCUGAAGGGUACAGGUCUGAUUUUGUUCUCUUCUAGCUAGACACCAAAAUUAUGCAUGAUAUUUUGUUAGAACU